UCUAGACAGAGGCACCACAUGGUCCUUGGGCCUUGUUGAGGAGGAAUGUUUUGUCUAGACAGAGGCACUAUAUGGUCUUGGGGCCUUAUUGAGGAGGAAUGUUUUGUCUAGACAGAGGCACCACAUGGUCCUGGGGCCUUAUUGAGGAGGAAUGUUUUGUCUAGACAGAGGCACCACAUGGUCCUUGGGCCUUGUUGAGGAGGAAUGUUUUGUCUAGACAGAGGCACCACAUGGUCCUGGGUCCUUAUUGAGGAGGAAUGGUUUGUCUAGACAGAGGCACUAUAUGGUCCUGGGGCCUUGUUGAGGAGGAAUGUUUUGUCUAGACAGAGGCACCACAUGGUCCUGGGGCCUUGUUGAGGAGGAAUGUUUUGUCUAGACAGAGGCACCACAUGGUCCUUGGGCCUUGUUGAGGAGGAAUGUUUUGUCUAGACAGAGGCACUAUAUGGUCUUGGGGCCUUAUUGAGGAGGAAUGUUUUGUCUAGACAGAGGCACCACAUGGUCCUGGGGCCUUAUUGAGGAGGAAUGUUUUGUCUAGACAGAGGCACCACAUGGUCCUGGGGCCUUAUUGAGGAGGAAUGUGAGAGUGUUACCCACCCGGCAUAUUUGAUUUUGCAACUCUUCUCCACCUUUAGGUCAUUUUGAUACCCGAAAGUGGGGAACAAAGCAAUCAUCCAAUGCACAGCAUGUUCAAUGAUUUAAACAUGCAUUCAGAAAGAUCACAUCGGUACUAACAUAUGAAGUAACCCUUCCCUACUGUAUGGAAGCAGAUUCUAGGUCAUCCACCCAGAGUGUCUGAAAACUUGCUUUGUUGAUGAAAUUUCACUUCCUUAUGAUCUAAAAUAUUUUUUUUUACCAAAAGACAAAUAUAAUUAUUCACGUUCUAAAUCGUUAAGUGUGGACUUUUCCUCUAACAUCCAAUAAUAAGCACCAAGAACUGUUGACAUGGAGGUGCAGGUUUCUUAUAACUGUUGACAUGGAGGUGCAGGUUUCUUAUAACAACAGUUGACAUGGAGGUGCAGGUUUCUUAUAACUGUUGACAUGGAGGUGCAGGUUUCUUAUAACUGUUGACAUGGAGGUGCAGGUUUCUUAUAACUGUUGACAUGGAGGUGCAGGUUUCUUAUAACAACUGUUGACAUGGAGGUGCAGGUUUCUUAUAACAACUGUUGACAUGGAGGUGCAGGUUUCUUAUAACUGUUGACAUGGAGGUGCAGGUUUCUUAUAACAACUGUUGACAUGGAGGUGCAGGUUUCUUAUAACUGUUGACAUGGAGGUGCAGGUUUCUUAUAACAACUGUUGACAUGGAGGUGCAGGUUUCUUAUAACAACUGUUGACAUGGAGGUGCAGGUUUCUUAUAACAACUGUUGACAUGGAGGUGCAGGUUUCUUAUAACAACAGUUGACAAAGAGGUGCAGGUUUCUUAUAA
Molecule: long non-coding RNA, 1423 nt
Organism: Oncorhynchus keta (chum salmon)
Lineage: Eukaryota; Metazoa; Chordata; Actinopteri; Salmoniformes; Salmonidae
Exons: 3
Source: RefSeq, a predicted model, not a curated record